UACGUAGGGUGCGAGCGUUAAUCGGAAUUACUGGGCGUAAAGCGUGCGCAGGCGGUGAUGUAAGACAGUUGUGAAAUCCCCGGGCUCAACCUGGGAACUGCAUCUGUGACUGCAUCGCUGGAGUGCGGCAGAGGGGGAUGGAAUUCCGCGUGUAGCAGUGAAAUGCGUAGAUAUGUGGAGGAACACCUGUGGCGAAGGCGCCUUGCUGGCCAAUUUCUGACGCUGAGGCGCGAAAGCGUGGGGAGCAAACAGG
This 253-nucleotide ribosomal RNA is filed under the name uncultured bacterium. RNAcentral's name for it is "partial 16S ribosomal RNA". It matches the Rfam family "Bacterial small subunit ribosomal RNA", at positions 524 to 776 of the family's 1533-position model. The record is from RNAcentral.